Molecule: transfer RNA, 69 nt
Filed under: Marmota marmota marmota (Alpine marmot)
Lineage: Eukaryota; Metazoa; Chordata; Mammalia; Rodentia; Sciuridae
Also listed under: 4 other names
Rfam family: tRNA
About the family: Transfer RNA (tRNA) molecules are approximately 80 nucleotides in length. Their secondary structure includes four short double-helical elements and three loops (D, anti-codon, and T loops).
Source: Rfam by way of RNAcentral
GGAGUUGUAGCUCAGUGGUAGAGUGCUUGCCUAGCAUGUGUGAGGCACUGGGUUCAAUCCUCAGCACCA